AGACCUACUUAUCUACCAACAGC
RNAcentral lists this microRNA (23 nucleotides) under Mus musculus (house mouse). RNAcentral describes it as "mmu-miR-1839-3p". The record is from miRBase by way of RNAcentral. Lineage: Eukaryota; Metazoa; Chordata; Mammalia; Rodentia; Muridae.